RNAcentral lists this ribosomal RNA (402 nucleotides) under uncultured Acidobacteriota bacterium. RNAcentral's name for it is "uncultured Acidobacteria bacterium partial 16S ribosomal RNA". It matches the Rfam family "Bacterial small subunit ribosomal RNA", at positions 355 to 774 of the family's 1533-position model. The record is from RNAcentral. Lineage: Bacteria; Pseudomonadati; Acidobacteriota.
UCGGGAAUUUUGCUCAAUGGGGGAAACCCUGAAGCAGCAACGCCGCGUGCGGGAUGAAGGCCUUCGGGUUGUAAACCGCUUUUAUCAGGGACGAUGAUGACGGUACCUGAUGAAUAAGUCACGGCUAACUACGUGCCAGCAGCCGCGGUAAUACGUAGGUGACCAGCGUUGUCCGGAUUUACUGGGCGUAAAGAGCGCGCAGGCGGUCGUUCAAGUCGAGUGUGAAAGCCCCCGGCUCAACUGGGGAGGGUCAUUCGAUACUGAUCGACUGGAAGGCAGGAGAGGGAAGCGGAAUUCCCGGUGUAGUGGUGAAAUGCGUAGAUAUCGGGAGGAACACCAGUGGCGAAGGCGGCUUCCUGGCCUGUUCUUGACGCUGAGGCGCGAAAGCUAGGGGAGCAAACG